Long non-coding RNA from Lycium barbarum (goji berry), 1598 nucleotides. RefSeq lists it as uncharacterized. The transcript has 3 exons. NCBI's taxonomy places the organism in Eukaryota, Viridiplantae, Streptophyta, Magnoliopsida, Solanales, Solanaceae. The record is from RefSeq and is a predicted model, not a curated record.
CUUUGACUCUUAAAGAAAAAUAAACAAAGGGGCUGCUCAAGAGGUUUGGCGUACGACACAGUGAUUAAUUCACUGGUUUUAAGCUUCAGACACUGUCCGUUUGGAAGCACUUCGGAAGGGAAAAGCUUUGGUGUGAGAGUUCGUGGCACCUGUUCGGCAUUGAGAGUACGAUCCAGGUUCCAGUUCUACACCCCGUGGCUGAUACGCGAUGGUGACAUCUUUCAGUCAUUCAGGGUGAGCUACUUGGUCAUCCAUGGCCCCUGAAGGACCUCAUCUAUUUAUUUCUGUUUUUGUAUUUGACAGACAAUAUGUAGCCUUCGGGUAUUUUCAGACUUCUAUUCCGUACUAUGUUAGCGCUCUUGUACCCUUUGACCAGGUUUUGGGGUUGUCGUGACAUUUCUAGUUAUGAUAAGUAUUUAAGACUUGAUAUCUUGUUCUUAUUUAAUUUUCCGCUUAUUUAACUUGUUAUUAGUAAUGUGGUUCGCCUACUCGGAGGGAUAGUAGGUGCCACCACGACUCGCGAAUUUGGGUCGUGACAAGUUUUUCUUUUUCUGUUUUGAUGUCAUUAUUUAUUUUAUUGUUGUAUGGAUUUUAUUUCAAUAGCGAGGUAAAUGGGUGGUUGAUGAAUCUUCGGACAAUUCAAGUGAUGAUGGAAGCGAAUCUGAAGAUGCCAAUAUUGCUGGCAAAACCACUGAAAGCUCUUCUAUAGAGCAUCGCAUUGAGGUAUUUUUCAUGGGUCCUCUCUGUUUUUGCUCUUAAAUUUUUGUUCUUUUUUUUUUUUUGAGUUUAACACUUUGCUAUAUUUGUUUAUUUUCACAGUUCCUGGAAAAUGUUUGUGAUGUUAAAUUGGAUAGGAUUUUGAAUAAUCAACAGCAGGAGAAGGCCCGGAUGGAUCAGCUGAUUUCUGCUCUGCAAAAAAUAGGGUUAAAUUUUGAAUCCCAAACUGCUUUUGAUGCUGAAAAUGUUCGUUGACAUGUUGAUUCUCCUCGUCAAGUUGAAAAGGGUAGGCGCAAGAGCACAAGAUCUGUUCGUAAAAGUGUUGCUGCUAAAAGGAAAACUAAACAAGCCAGGUCUCGUAAAAAUGUUGAGCAAUCUUCCGUUGGGCAACGAAGAAGAUCGGUGCAGUUUCAUGUUAGUGAAGAUAUUGCUGAUAUUGAAUAGGCAUUUUGGGAUGCUGAAACUACCACCGGAGACGAGGGGGCAACUCGUUUGGUGUUGAUUUGUCUAAUGUUGAGGCUGAAAGUAAUCAAGAAAUUCAGAUGGAAGAUGUGCAAGCCGUUUCUACUGAAAGAGCCGUUGAUGAGAUAGAGUUGGGAGGCAAAAUCCGAUUUUACAAGAGAAGAAAAUUCCCAAAACAUUACAAGAUGCAGAUGUUUCUCCUAAUCCAUGGCUUCCGGAUGGUCCUCAAUCUACAAAUGUGGCAGCUGAUAGGGACAAGGCAUUUGAAGAUGUUUUUGGAGAAGGCCAAGCAAAAGUGACAUGUCCUAUGGAGACAGAUGUUGAACAAGUUGAAUCUUUAAAUGCAACUGAAAAUGUUGAGGCUGAAUUGCCUUCGGUAAAUUUACAUUUAUACUUUGUUGUUUUCUAAACCUAAGUUG